This 512-nucleotide small RNA is filed under the name Pan troglodytes (chimpanzee). RNAcentral describes it as "retained intron". Lineage: Eukaryota; Metazoa; Chordata; Mammalia; Primates; Hominidae. The record is from RNAcentral.
UUUUUUUUGGUCCUCUUAGUGUAUUGGAACAACACAAACUAACAAAAGAACAGUGGGAAGAAAGAAUACAGAACUGGCAUGAAGAACAUAGAGGAAUGUUAAGGGAGGAUUCUAUGAUGGAAUACCUGAAGAUUGCACAAGAUCUAGAAAUGUAUGGAGUCAACUAUUUUGAAAUAAAAAAUAAAAAAGGAACUGAAUUGUGGCUAGGUGUUGAUGCUUUGGGUCUGAAUAUUUAUGAGCAUGACGACAAGUUAACACCUAAAAUUGGUUUUCCCUGGAGUGAAAUCAGAAAUAUUUCAUUUAAUGACAAAAAAUUUGUUAUAAAGCCAAUCGACAAAAAGGCACCUGAUUUUGUUUUUUAUGCACCUCGUCUGAGAAUCAAUAAGCGGAUUUUGGCCUUAUGUAUGGGAAACCAUGAACUAUACAUGCGAAGAAGGAAGCCUGAUACUAUUGAAGUACAACAGAUGAAGGCUCAGGCUAGGGAGGAGAAACAUCAGAAGCAGUUGGAAAGG